This 465-nucleotide ribosomal RNA is filed under the name Vreelandella stevensii. RNAcentral's name for it is "partial 16S ribosomal RNA". It matches the Rfam family "Bacterial small subunit ribosomal RNA", at positions 338 to 795 of the family's 1533-position model. Lineage: Bacteria; Pseudomonadati; Pseudomonadota; Gammaproteobacteria; Oceanospirillales; Halomonadaceae. The record is from RNAcentral.
CCUACGGGAGGCAGCAGUGGGGAAUAUUGGACAAUGGGGGGAACCCUGAUCCAGCCAUGCCGCGUGUGUGAAGAAGGCCCUCGGGUUGUAAAGCACUUUCAGUGAGGAAGAACGCCUGGUGGUUAAUACCCAUCAGGAAAGACAUCACUCACAGAAGAAGCACCGGCUAACUCCAUGCCAGCAGCCGCGGUAAUACGGAGGGUGCGAGCGUUAAUCGGAAUUACUGGGCGUAAAGCGCGCGUAGGUGGCUUGAUAAGCCGGUUGUGAAAGCCCCGGGCUCAACCUGGGAACGGCAUCCGGAACUGUCAAGCUAGAGUGCAGGAGAGGAAGGUAGAAUUCCCGGUGUAGCGGUGAAAUGCGUAGAGAUCGGGAGGAAUACCAGUGGCGAAGGCGGCCUUCUGGACUGACACUGACACUGAGGUGCGAAAGCGUGGGUAGCAAACAGGAUUAGAUACCCUGGUAGUC